AGGGAGAGGGAUUAUAUAUUUUCACAAUAUUUAAUACACUUAUCCAUAGUUAUCCACAUUCCUAUUUUAUGGCUAUAACAUGAUGCAUAUGCAAUUCAUAAUCAUCAAGGGCACAAGAGAAAAAAGGAAAUGGAUUGAAGGGUAUAUUUAUAAAUACAAAACUAUAUAUGGACUAUAAAUAACCUUCAACCCUUUCCCUCUACUCAUCACUUCCUACUCUACUUUCCUUCACAAGUCCAUAUAUACUAAUAUAUAUUAGGUGUUGUUGUGUGUUACUAAUUGCAAUAAUGGGUAAAGAGAAGGCUCAGGUGAAUAUUGUGGUGGUUGGUCAUGUGGAUUCUGAUGAGAAGCCAACCAGCAACGAGGAAACCAACAAGGUUGUUGUUGUUGUUGAGAACAAAACUGAUGAGAUGAAUAUGAUAUGAGGAACCAGAAAAAUUAAUAAUAAUUAAUGUUUUGUAAAAAUAAUCUGGUACCACCAGUCUACUUAAUGUUAUGUUAUGUUAAUUUAUAU
This is a long non-coding RNA of Lathyrus oleraceus (garden pea), 514 nucleotides long. RefSeq lists it as uncharacterized. NCBI's taxonomy places the organism in Eukaryota, Viridiplantae, Streptophyta, Magnoliopsida, Fabales, Fabaceae. The record is from RefSeq and is a predicted model, not a curated record. The transcript is spliced from 2 exons.